Non-coding RNA from Brochothrix campestris FSL F6-1037, 265 nucleotides. It matches the Rfam family "Bacterial large signal recognition particle RNA". Rfam says of the family: The signal recognition particle (SRP) is a universally conserved ribonucleoprotein involved in the co-translational targeting of proteins to membranes. The record is from Rfam. NCBI's taxonomy places the organism in Bacteria, Bacillati, Bacillota, Bacilli, Caryophanales, Listeriaceae.
UCGUGCUAGAUGGGAUGGUAGCGGCGUCCUGUAACUCGCAAUCCGCUUAGCGAGAUUGAAUUCCUCUGAGGAGGGCGAUAAUAGGGAUGGCAGCCAGAAGUAAGUGAUGUUGAGGUUUGGGUCCUGCGCAAUGAAUCUUCAUGAACUAUGUCAGGUCCGGAAGGAAGCAGCAUUAAGUGAAUCAAUUCAUGUGCCGUGGGGUUGCCUGGGCGGAGUUAACUGCUUGUGUAACGCAUUUUUAUUACGUUCGAACAGAGGUGCACGA